RNAcentral lists this ribosomal RNA (255 nucleotides) under uncultured bacterium. RNAcentral's name for it is "partial 16S ribosomal RNA". It matches the Rfam family "Bacterial small subunit ribosomal RNA", at positions 524 to 776 of the family's 1533-position model. The record is from RNAcentral.
UACGGAGGGUGCAAGCGUUGUCCGGAUUUAUUGGGUUUAAAGGGUGCGUAGGUGGCUUGUUAAGUCCGGGGUGAAAGCCCACAGCUCAACUGUGGAACUGCCCUGGAUACUGGCGAGCUUGAGUCCAGACGAGGUUGGCGGAAUGGAAGCUGUAGCGGUGAAAUGCAUAGAUAGCUUCCAGAACCCCGAUUGCGUAGGCAGCUGACUAGGCUGGUACUGACACUGAGGCACGAAAAGCGUGGGGGAGCGAACAGG